This 253-nucleotide ribosomal RNA is filed under the name uncultured bacterium. Its description in RNAcentral is "partial 16S ribosomal RNA". It matches the Rfam family "Bacterial small subunit ribosomal RNA", at positions 524 to 776 of the family's 1533-position model. The record is from RNAcentral.
UACGAAGGGGGCUAGCGUUGUUCGGAAUUACUGGGCGUAAAGCGUGCGCAGGCGGCUUCUCAAGUCAGGGGUGAAAUCCUGGAGCUCAACUCCAGAACUGCCUUUGAUACUGGGAGGCUCGAGUCCGGGAGAGGUGAGUGGAACUGCGAGUGUAGAGGUGAAAUUCGUAGAUAUUCGCAAGAACACCAGUGGCGAAGGCGGCUCACUGGCCCGGUACUGACGCUGAGGUGCGAAAGCGUGGGGAGCAAACAGG